GAGAAGCUCAAAAGUUCCUCCAAAGACUGGAACGAAUACAAUCAAAAGCCAACGUGUGGAGGAAGAGAUUAAAACUAAAAGGAAUUCUGUAGCCUGCAGGCAAAGCGCAACAAAAGCAAAGCCACAGCGGAAAAGAAGUGGCACACGAGGAGGCCGUUCCAAAUGAUGUCACUCAGACUAAAUCAUCAGAAAGCUUUUGAGCAAGAGGUGAAGUCAGCAAGCUACUGUAAUGGACCACCCAGACUUUUUAUAUUAAGUAAUGAUUUCAUAAUACAUAAGAAAUAUA
Long non-coding RNA from Sinocyclocheilus grahami, 286 nucleotides. RefSeq lists it as uncharacterized. The record is from RefSeq and is a predicted model, not a curated record. The transcript is spliced from 3 exons. NCBI's taxonomy places the organism in Eukaryota, Metazoa, Chordata, Actinopteri, Cypriniformes, Cyprinidae.